Molecule: ribosomal RNA, 85 nt
Filed under: Mesoflavibacter sp.
Lineage: Bacteria; Pseudomonadati; Bacteroidota; Flavobacteriia; Flavobacteriales; Flavobacteriaceae
Source: RNAcentral
UCAUUCGGUCAUACCAUGGUGGAAACACCAGAUCCCAUCUGAACUCUGUUAGUUAAGCAUCAUUGGGCUUGCCUAGUACUGAGGU